CAGGUUUGAUCCUGGCUCAGGAUGAACGCUAGCGGCAGGCCUAACACAUGCAAGUCAAGGGGCAGCACGGUGUAGCAAUACACUGGUGGCGACCGGCGCACGGGUGCGUAACGCGUAUGCAACCUACCCAUAACAGGGGGAUAACACUGAGAAAUUGGUACUAAUACCCCAUAACAUCAGGACCGGCAUCGGUUCUGGUUGAAAACUCCGGUGGUUAUGGAUGGGCAUGCGUUGUAUUAGCUGGUUGGUGAGG
RNAcentral lists this ribosomal RNA (253 nucleotides) under uncultured bacterium. Its description in RNAcentral is "partial 16S ribosomal RNA". It matches the Rfam family "Bacterial small subunit ribosomal RNA", at positions 9 to 257 of the family's 1533-position model. The record is from RNAcentral.